RNAcentral lists this ribosomal RNA (443 nucleotides) under uncultured bacterium. RNAcentral's name for it is "partial 16S ribosomal RNA". It matches the Rfam family "Bacterial small subunit ribosomal RNA", at positions 338 to 795 of the family's 1533-position model. The record is from RNAcentral.
CCUACGGGAGGCUGCAGUGGGGAAUAUUGGGCAAUGGGCGCAAGCCUGACCCAGCAACGCCGCGUGAAGGAAGAAGGCCUUCGGGUUGUAAACCUCUUUUCUCAGGGACGAAGAAAGUGAUGGUACCUGAGGAAUAAGCCACGGCUAACUAGGUGCCAGCAGCCGCGGGAAUACGUAGGUGGCAAGCGUUAUCCGGAUUUAUUGGGUGUAAAGGGCGUGUAGGCGGGAGGGCAAGUCAGAUGUGAAAACUCAGGGCUCAACCCUGGGCCUGCAUUUGAAACUGUGUUUCUUGAGUGCUGGGAGGGCAGGCGGAAUUCCGUGUGUAGCGGUGAAAUGCGUAGAUAUGCGGAAGAACACCAGUGGCGAAGGCAGAUUGCUGGAGAGUAACUGACGCUGAGGCGCGAAAGCGUGGGGAGCGAACAGGAUUAGAUACCCCGGUAGUC